This 301-nucleotide ribosomal RNA is filed under the name uncultured bacterium. RNAcentral describes it as "partial 16S ribosomal RNA". It matches the Rfam family "Bacterial small subunit ribosomal RNA", at positions 509 to 808 of the family's 1533-position model. The record is from RNAcentral.
CAGUCGCCGCGGGAAUACGUAGGUGGCGAGCGUUGUCCGGAAUCAUUGGGCGUAAAGGGAGCGCAGGCGGGCAUAUAAGUCUUUCUUAAAAGUGCGGGGCUCAACCCCGUGAUGGGAAAGAAACUACAUGUCUUGAGUGCAGGAGAGGAAAGCGGAAUUCCCAGUGUAGCGGUGAAAUGCGUAGAUAUUGGGAGGAACACCAGUGGCGAAGGCGGCUUUCUGGACUGCAACUGACGCUGAGGCUCGAAAGCCAGGGGAGCGAACGGGAUUAGAUACCCCCGUAGUCCCUGUCUCUUAUACC